UGGGGAAUAUUGGACAAUGGGCGAAAGCCUGAUCCAGCCAUGCCGCGUGUGUGAAGAAGGUCUUCGGAUUGUAAAGCACUUUACGUUGGGAGGAAGGGCAGUAAGCGAAUACCUUGCUGUUUUGACGUUACCGACAGAAUAAGCACCGGCUAACUCUGUGCCAGCAGCCGCGGUAAUCCAGAGGGUGCAAGCGUUAAUCGGAAUUACUGGGCGUAAAGCGCGCGUAGGUGGUUCGUUAAGUUGAAUGUGAAAGCCCCGGGCUCAACCUGGGAACUGCAUCCAAAACUGGCGAGCUAGAGUAGGGCAGAGGGUGGUGGAAUUUCCUGUGUAGCGGUGAAAUGCGUAGAUAUAGGAAGGAACACCAGUGGCGAAGGCGACCACCUGGGCUCAUACUGACACUGAGGUGCGAAAGCGUGGGGAGCAAACAGG
This 429-nucleotide ribosomal RNA is filed under the name Pseudomonadota bacterium. Its description in RNAcentral is "Proteobacteria bacterium partial 16S ribosomal RNA". It matches the Rfam family "Bacterial small subunit ribosomal RNA", at positions 355 to 776 of the family's 1533-position model. The record is from RNAcentral. Lineage: Bacteria; Pseudomonadati; Pseudomonadota.